This is a non-coding RNA of Paramuricea clavata, 519 nucleotides long. The record is from the annotation of a GenBank genome assembly. NCBI's taxonomy places the organism in Eukaryota, Metazoa, Cnidaria, Anthozoa, Malacalcyonacea, Plexauridae.
GUUCGUGUACGUACACAAAGAGGGGAACGUGCUGUUGACUUCUGGCGACUGUGGGACAAAGAGAAAAUGUUACGCAGUACGAGCAACAUGUGAGUAAAAUAGCAUAAAUUUAUACAUUCAAAACUAGUCAAAACUGUACUUCUCGUAAUACCAUCCGCAUAUUUUAAAGACAGUGUCCUAUAAAUACGUGAAGUAUCGUAAAGUUCCUGAAACCCGAAGCUAUUAUAUAUUAUAUAUUUCGAAUUUCCCAAUUUAAUACCCACACUGAAACAAUUAUAACAUGUAAUACUACAGAUAUACUCGAUAAAUGUAUAGUGUUCUAUACUGAAUUCUACAGAUCCGCAGACGUAGGUAAACAAUAAUUGCAUGUCUAGUGACUAGUGUUUCUAAGCAGGGCAUUUUUAAAGAAUUUGUCAGUGGGGGGUGGCAUCUACAAAAAGGGACCAUACUAUACCGAUUGUGGAGAAAUGAUAGAUGGUUUGUUGGUAACAAAAAGUUUGGUGUGGUAUCGCAUUUAAU